GACGAACGCUGGCGGCGUGCUUAACACAUGCAAGUCGAACGGAAAGGCCCUGCGUUUGUGGGGUGCUCGAGUGGCGAACGGGUGAGUAACACGUGAGUAACCUGCCCUUGACUUUGGGAUAACUUCAGGAAACUGGGGCUAAUACCGGAUAGGAUCUCCUGCUGCAUGGUGGGGGUUGGAAAGUUUCGGCGGUUGGGGAUGGACUCGCGGCUUAUCAGCUUGUUGGUGGGGUAGUGGCUUACCAAGGCUUUGACGGGUAGCCGGCCUGAGAGGGUGACCGGCCACAUUGGGACUGAGAUACGGCCCAGACUCCUACGGGAGGCAGCAGUGGGGAAUAUUGCACAAUGGGCGGAAGCCUGAUGCAGCAACGCCGCGUGCGGGAUGACGGCCUUCGGGUUGUAAACCGCUUUCGCCUGUGACGAAGCGUGAGUGACGGUAAUGGGUAAAGAAGCACCGGCUAACUACGUG
RNAcentral lists this ribosomal RNA (468 nucleotides) under uncultured bacterium. Its description in RNAcentral is "partial 16S ribosomal RNA". It matches the Rfam family "Bacterial small subunit ribosomal RNA", at positions 28 to 507 of the family's 1533-position model. The record is from RNAcentral.